RNAcentral lists this ribosomal RNA (251 nucleotides) under uncultured bacterium. RNAcentral describes it as "partial 16S ribosomal RNA". It matches the Rfam family "Bacterial small subunit ribosomal RNA", at positions 60 to 339 of the family's 1533-position model. The record is from RNAcentral.
AGUCGAACGAAGCCUUCGGGCUUAGUGGCGAACGGGUGAGUAACACGUGGGAAUCUACCUUUGAGUUGGGAAUAACCAUUGGAAACGAUGGCUAAUACCCAAUACGUCCUUCGGGAGAAAGAUUUAUCGCUCAGAGAUGAGCCCGCGUCCAAUUAGCUAGUUGGUGGGGUAAUGGCCCACCAAGGCGACGAUUGGUAGCUGUUCUGAGAGGAAGAUCAGCCACACUGGAACUGAGACACGGUCCAGACUCC